GGGUUGUGAGGUUAAGCGACUAAGCGUACACGGUGGAUGCCCUGGCAGUCAGAGGCGAUGAAGGACGUGCUAAUCUGCGAUAAGCGUCGGUAAGGUGAUAUGAACCGUUAUAACCGGCGAUUUCCGAAUGGGGAAACCCAGUGUGAUUCGUCACACUAUCAUUAACUGAAUCCAUAGGUUAAUGAGGCGAACCGGGGGAACUGAAACAUCUAAGUACCCCGAGGAAAAGAAAUCAACCGAGAUUCCCCCAGUAGCGGCGAGCGAACGGGGAGCAGCCCAGAGCCUGAAUCAGUGUGUGUGUUAGUGGAAGCGUCUGGAAAGGCGCGCGAUACAGGGUGACAGCCCCGUACACAAAAAUGCACAUACUGUGAGCUCGAUGAGUAGGGCGGGACACGUGGUAUCCUGUCUGAAUAUGGGGGGACCAUCCUCCAAGGCUAAAUACUCCUGACUGACCGAUAGUGAACCAGUACCGUGAGGGAAAGGCGAAAAGAACCCCGGCGAGGGGAGUGAAAAAGAACCUGAAACCGUGUACGUACAAGCAGUGGGAGCACAGAGCAAUC
This 560-nucleotide ribosomal RNA is filed under the name Escherichia coli. RNAcentral describes it as "partial 23S ribosomal RNA". It matches the Rfam family "Bacterial large subunit ribosomal RNA", at positions 1 to 591 of the family's 2925-position model. The record is from RNAcentral. Lineage: Bacteria; Pseudomonadati; Pseudomonadota; Gammaproteobacteria; Enterobacterales; Enterobacteriaceae.